AUUGAACGCUGGCGGCAGGCCUAACACAUGCAAGUCGAACGAGUGGCGGACGGGUGAGUAAUGUAUGGGAAACUGCCUGGUGGAGGGGGAUAACUAAUGGAAACGGUAGCUAAUACCGCAUAGCAUCAGCUGUGACCAGAUGGGAGUAGCUUGUUGGUGGGGUAAAGGCUCACCAAGGCGACGAUCCCUAGCUGGUAUGAGAGGAUGACCAGCCACACUGGAACUGAGAAACGGUCCAGACUCCUACGGGAGGCAGCAGUGGGGAAUAUUGCACAAUGGGGGCAAGCCUGAUGCAGCCAUGCCGCGUGUAUGAAGAAGGCCUUCGGGUUGUAAAGUACUUUCAGCGGGUAGGCGUUACCCGCAGAAGAAGCACCGGCUAACUCCGUGCCAGCAGCCGCGGUAAUUC
RNAcentral lists this ribosomal RNA (406 nucleotides) under uncultured bacterium. Its description in RNAcentral is "partial 16S ribosomal RNA". It matches the Rfam family "Bacterial small subunit ribosomal RNA", at positions 30 to 526 of the family's 1533-position model. The record is from RNAcentral.